UACAGAGGGGGCAAGCGUUAUUCGGAAUUAUUGGGCGUAAAGGGCGCGUAGGCGGCUUUGCAAGUGACGGGUGAAAGCCCUCGGCUUAACCGAGGAACUGCCUGUCAGACUGUAAGGCUUGAGACCGGGAGAGGUGAGUGGAAUUCCCAGUGUAGCGGUGAAAUGCGUAGAUAUUGGGAGGAACACCAGUGGCGAAGGCGGCUCACUGGCCCGGUACUGACGCUGAGGUGCGAAAGCCAGGGGAGCGAACGGG
Molecule: ribosomal RNA, 253 nt
Filed under: uncultured bacterium
Lineage: Bacteria
Description: partial 16S ribosomal RNA
Rfam family: Bacterial small subunit ribosomal RNA
Source: RNAcentral